This 288-nucleotide ribosomal RNA is filed under the name Triticum aestivum (bread wheat). RNAcentral describes it as "partial small subunit ribosomal RNA". The record is from RNAcentral. Lineage: Eukaryota; Viridiplantae; Streptophyta; Magnoliopsida; Poales; Poaceae.
AUGGUCGUCUCGCUUCUCCGCGCCGCCGCCCCAUACAAUCGCGCCGCCGCUUCGCGUCCCUCUCAACGAAGAGGGCUACAAGAGUGGGGAGAACGCCGGUCGCUGGGCCUCCGAGCGCGAAGACACAGGAGGAGAAGCUCACGGAGGUGGCGGAAAUCUCACAAUCGCAUCUCCCGUCUCUCUCCCGUCCAAGUCAGGCGACAAAGACCGGCGGCUGCGACCACGCCCCACCACCGUGCCUGUUUCUCCGGCUAUCUCCCCUUCCUCUCUCCGCUUGUCUAUCCUUGA